GGCAGGAGCUUGCGUUCAGGCUCUCGAUACGUCUAUGGUACGGCGUCAGACUUCGCCUCGGGGAUGAGGCAAGGAAUCGUUACGGAUUUGCGCACUGAGCAAGUCCACAACAACGCAGGCA
The submitters of this non-coding RNA (121 nucleotides) gave its source as unclassified sequences. The record is from Rfam.